RNAcentral lists this ribosomal RNA (460 nucleotides) under uncultured organism. RNAcentral's name for it is "partial 16S ribosomal RNA". It matches the Rfam family "Bacterial small subunit ribosomal RNA", at positions 333 to 801 of the family's 1533-position model. The record is from RNAcentral.
ACACUCCUACGGGAGGCAGCAGUGGGGAAUAUUGCACAAUGGGCGCAAGCCUGAUGCAGCGACGCCGCGUGGGGGAUGAAGGCCUUCGGGUUGUAAACUCCUUUCGCUAGGGACGAAGCUUUUUUGUGACGGUACCUAGAUAAGAAGCACCGGCUAACUACGUGCCAGCAGCCGCGGUAAUACGUAGGGUGCGAGCGUUGUCCGGAAUUACUGGGCGUAAAGGGCUCGUAGGUGGUUUGUCGCGUCGUCUGUGAAAUUCUGGGGCUUAACUCCGGGCGUGCAGGCGAUACGGGCAUAACUUGAGUGCUGUAGGGGUAACUGGAAUUCCUGGUGUAGCGGUGAAAUGCGCAGAUAUCAGGAGGAACACCGAUGGCGAAGGCAGGUUACUGGGCAGUUACUGACGCUGAGGAGCGAAAGCAUGGGUAGCGAACAGGAUUAGAUACCCGAGUAGUCCCAUGAU